GACGAACGCUGGCGGCGUGCCUAACACAUGCAAGUCGAGCGACUGCAUUCUUUUCGGAGGGUGUAUGGAGCGGCGAACGGGUGAGUAACACGUGAGUAAUCUGCCUUUGGCUUGGGAAUAACUUCGGGAAAUCGGGGCUAAUGCCUGAUGUUUACUGUCUGCUGCAUGGUGGGUGGUGGAAAGAUUUUUUGGCCAGGGAGUGAGCUCGCGGUCUAUCAGCUGUUGGUGGGGUAAUGGCUUACCAAGGCUUUGACGGGUAGCCGGCCUGAGAGGGCGACCGGCCACACUGGGACUGAGACACGGCCCAGACUCCUACGGGAGGCAGCAGUGGGGAAUCUUGCGCAAUGGGCGAAAGCCUGACGCAGCGACGCCGCGUGAGGG
This 381-nucleotide ribosomal RNA is filed under the name uncultured bacterium. RNAcentral's name for it is "bacterial SSU rRNA". It matches the Rfam family "Bacterial small subunit ribosomal RNA", at positions 28 to 407 of the family's 1533-position model. The record is from RNAcentral.